UGAUACUGCUAGUCUUGAGUGCAGUUGAGGUAGGCGGAAUGUGUAAUGUAACGGUGAAAUGCUUAGAUAUUACACAGAACACCGAUUGCGUAGGCAGCUUACUAAACUGUAACUGACGCUGAGGCACGAAAGCGUGGGGAGCGAACAGGAUUAGAUACCCUGGUAGUCCACGCUGUAAACUAUGAUCACUCGCUGUUGGCGAUACAUUGUCAGCGGCUGAGCGAAAGCAUUAAGUGAUCCACCUGGGGAGUACGGCCGCAAAGUUGAAACUCAAAGGAAUUGACGGGGGCCCGCACAAGCGGUGGAACAUGUGGUUUAAUUCGAUGAUACGCGAGGAACCUUACCUGGGCUUAAAUGCAGAACGACGUACCGGGAAACUGGUACUCCCUUCGGGGCGGACUGCAAGGUGCUGCAUGGUUGUCGACAGCUCGUGCCGUGAGGUGUCGGGUUAAGUCCCAUAACGAGCGCAACCCUCAUUGUUAGUUGCCAGCGAGUAAUGUCGGGGACUCUAACGAAACUGCCGGUGUAAACCGUGAGGAAGGUGGGGAUGACGUCAAAUCAGCACGGCCCUUAUGUCCAGGGCUACACACGUGUUACAAUGGCCAGUACAAAGGGCAGCUACCACGCGAGUGGAUGCUAAUCUCUAAAGCUGGUCUCAGUUCGGAUUGAAGUCUGCAACUCGACUUCAUGAAGCUGGAAUCGCUAGUAAUCGCGCAUCAGCCAUGGCGCGGUGAAUACGUUCCCGGGCCUUGUACACACCGCCCGUCAAGCCAUGGAAGCUUGGGGUACCUGAAGUCCGUAACCGAAAGGAUCGGCACUAGGGUAAAACAAGUG
RNAcentral lists this ribosomal RNA (834 nucleotides) under uncultured organism. RNAcentral describes it as "bacterial SSU rRNA". It matches the Rfam family "Bacterial small subunit ribosomal RNA", at positions 628 to 1473 of the family's 1533-position model. The record is from RNAcentral.